RNAcentral lists this transfer RNA (65 nucleotides) under Elmis aenea. RNAcentral describes it as "tRNA-Asn". The record is from RNAcentral. Lineage: Eukaryota; Metazoa; Arthropoda; Insecta; Coleoptera; Elmidae.
UUAACUGAAACCAAAAUAGAGGUAUAUCACUGUUAAUGAUAAAAAUGAGAUAUUCUCCAGUUAAA